RNAcentral lists this long non-coding RNA (1085 nucleotides) under Bos grunniens (domestic yak). RNAcentral describes it as "lncRNA (ENSBGRG00000025131.1)". Lineage: Eukaryota; Metazoa; Chordata; Mammalia; Artiodactyla; Bovidae. The record is from RNAcentral.
ACCCUUGAAUCCUGGAGCUCGUUGAAUUAGUUGGUGACCAGAUUCUUCCCAAUGGAAAGAAAGGAAGGUCUUGAGCGCAAAAUCCAUAACAGACCCUUAGAUAAAGAGGGAUUGGAAGAGAGUGGAUUCGGGUCCAGAUGUCAUGGUUGAUGAGAUUUUACAUACAGAUUUUCCUGUACAGUUUUAGACAAACAACAUUUUACUCACCAUUUUAGGAAAACACAUUUAUCCAAAAGAGGAGGUGAUUUUUGGUUUGGAAAGAGGAGUGUUUUUCCAUCAGUUAUUUUGAGGGGAGGGGUUUGGGGAUGAACUUGGGAUGUGGGCUGGGGGAUGGUGAGGGGAACCAGCUGAGGGGCUGGAAGGCAGCCCUCUCAUCAUGCGAUCACCUGUUGCUUGGCAAGUGACUUUCAGAGGAAGCAUUUUAAGAAGAUUAAGAGCCGCAGGCUUGCAGGGCAACAGUGUGAUUCCUGCUAUUUUCAGGGCACCGACAGUGUUCCCCUCACACCCAGGUCGGCAGUAGCGCAGAGACACAGCCCGGACACUCGGCGGAUGUGGCGCCCGGAAGUGCGGACGGUGGUCUGUCUGGGUCCUCUGUUGAGCUUGCUCAUCUUGGGAUCGCCCAGUCGCUCGAUGGGGCGUGCCGGCGGCCUGCGUCCGUGUGUCACCUGCCCGCCUCUCAGCAGCAAGGAACGGAGCUUCAGCACCUCUUCAGUAAUGAUGAUGAAACUGGUAUUAACUGAAUGGCAUUUAUGGAUUUUUAACUCUAAUUCACAGUAAGCCAGAAAGCCAUAUGUUCAAUCCAACCAAAAAUCAUUCUGUUUUGCUGCGUGUCUCAUCCGAUUGUGAGAAGUUUCAAGAUACCUGUUUGUACAAAGAGGAAUAUAAGUGUUACUUGCCGGAGGAGCACAGCUGAAGCAGAAAGCGAAGACGUCUUAAUUUAUCCUUAAAGAUAUAUGAUAGAAUUAUUUAUUUAGAUAGAGUAAAGAGAUAUAUAUAUUUUUUUGGUGGUGAUGAAAAUGGCUCCAUGAAAUGCCGAUGCAGAAUCUAUGCAAGUUCAGGAGCUCCGGUGCCCUGCCAGACCUCCA